This is a long non-coding RNA of Mustela erminea (ermine), 295 nucleotides long. RefSeq lists it as uncharacterized. The transcript is spliced from 3 exons. Lineage: Eukaryota; Metazoa; Chordata; Mammalia; Carnivora; Mustelidae. The record is from RefSeq and is a predicted model, not a curated record.
GCUAAAUAGGCCCUUACAUCACAACUUAACUUCCAAGGAAAUUUUAAUUAACAUGACCUCUUAAAUCAAGCUUUGUGAUCAUUUGGACACAAUACUAAAAUCAAAUGCUACAAUGUUGGAUGAGGUCAUUGUGAAUAGCUUGUUAUAAGGGCUAUUUUGAGGUACCAUAUGAACUUCAGUGGAUAUUAUGCAGUACAAAGAAACAAUGUUUACUUCAGAAAAAAAUUUAUGUUUUGCUACUACAAUUUAUCUAAACAUUGAGAGAUUGUGUGCACAAAUAGGCAGAGUGGCAGAC